RNAcentral lists this ribosomal RNA (253 nucleotides) under uncultured bacterium. RNAcentral's name for it is "partial 16S ribosomal RNA". It matches the Rfam family "Bacterial small subunit ribosomal RNA", at positions 524 to 776 of the family's 1533-position model. The record is from RNAcentral.
GACGUAGGGCGCGAGCGUUGUCCGGAUUUAUUGGGCGUAAAGAGCUCGUAGGCGGCUUGUUGCGUCGACCGUGAAAACCCGGGGCUCAACUUCGGGCUUGCGGUCGAUACGGGCGGGCUAGAGUGCGGUAGGGGAGAAUGGAACUCCUGGUGUAGCGGUGGAAUGCGCAGAUAUCAGGAAGAACACCGAUGGCGAAGGCAGUUCUCUGGGCCGUAACUGACGCUGAGGAGCGAAAGCGUGGGGAGCGAACAGG